This 865-nucleotide long non-coding RNA is filed under the name Ananas comosus (pineapple). RNAcentral's name for it is "long non-coding RNA (ACOM_LNC001518)". The record is from RNAcentral. Lineage: Eukaryota; Viridiplantae; Streptophyta; Magnoliopsida; Poales; Bromeliaceae.
ACUUGUAUAAAAAUUUACUGAUUUUAUAUUUUUAUAAAAAUUAAUCACUCGUUUAGAUUUUGUAUAUUAAAUCUGAAUUUUUAGUAAACUGGCUAAAAUAUGUCCUUAUUUUUCUUUCUCUUUUCUUUCUUUUUCGUUUGUUUUUCGUCUUCCUCUUCGUCUUCCUUCUUUACACCGUUCCUUUAUCUGUAUUUCCUUCCACUUUUUCUCUCUCCUUCUCCUCCCCUGUCUUUAUGUUGACACCACACUCCUCCGUCCUACCUUCUCCAUACCUCCACUGAUGUCUGUUACGGUGACAUGGGCUUAAAUAUAGCACAGAUCAUAAAGGUGAGGUUGUGGCUAAAAAUGUGGUCGUGGACGGCAAUGACGAUAAGAGUACUGUAGGAUUUGAAAAUGACAGAGAGGGAAACAAGUUAGAGGAAAAGGGCAAGGGAGGAAUGCGAUAGUGAAAAUGGAAGCAUCGGGUGAAAGGAAAAGGAGGAGGAAAAAGAAAAAAAAAAUAUUUAUUUCUUCUUCGGAAGGUCAUCAUAUAUCGUAAUCGCUACAGAAAAGAGUACGAAACAGAAGAAAAGAAAAAUUAUACUAUUUAAGAUUAAGUUGUACCAUUUAAAAUUAUUUGAGGCGAAGUUGCACUAUAAAAAAUAAAAAUAUAUUGUCUGAGACUAAGUUGUACUGUUUGAAACUUUAAGUUACAUUGUUUGAGAAGUUGUAACUUAGUUUCAAAUAGUUUUAAAUGGUACAACUUAAUUUUUAAAUAGUAUAAUUUAGUCUCAAGCAUUAUGACUUUUAUUUUUUAUGAUGCAACUUAUUAUAUUUUUUUUAAAAUUUUUUCUUUUCUUUUUCUUUCACCAUCUGCAUCAUUUCA